This 253-nucleotide ribosomal RNA is filed under the name uncultured fungus. RNAcentral's name for it is "partial 28S ribosomal RNA". It matches the Rfam family "Eukaryotic large subunit ribosomal RNA", at positions 399 to 675 of the family's 3401-position model. Lineage: Eukaryota; Fungi. The record is from RNAcentral.
GUGAAAUUGUUGAAAGGGAAGGGAUUGCAACCAGACUUGCUCGCGGUGUUCCGCCGGUCUUCUGACCGGUCUACUCGCCGCGUUGCAGGACAGCAUCGUCUGGUGCCGCUGGAUAAGACUUGAGGAAUGUAGCUCCCUCGGGAGUGUUAUAGCCUCUUGUGAUGCAGCGAGCGCCGGGCGAGGUCCGCGCUUCGGCUAGGAUGCUGGCGUAAUGGUCGUAAUCCGCCCGUCUUGAAACACGGACCAAGGAGUC